Molecule: unclassified non-coding RNA, 1178 nt
Filed under: Leishmania donovani
Lineage: Eukaryota; Euglenozoa; Kinetoplastea; Trypanosomatida; Trypanosomatidae
Description: gene:unknown
Source: RNAcentral
ACCAUAAAUACAUUCGUGUGACCAGUAACUCUAGUGGAGCAGCAGCUGGGCAACGCAACCCCCCUGUUCUCUUCUCCUCCUCCCCCGCCCCUAUCGCCGGCCCUCACCCUCAUCUCCAGCGCCGCGACCAUUUUCAGCAGUGCAUAGACAUAGGCGCACCCACGCGCAUACGCCUCCGACCCCCUACCGCCCUGUUUUCAUCAUCAUGGACCCCUACUACUACUUGCUGGCGUUAAUGUUCGCCUUCGUGUGUUUCACACUGUUCCUGCUCACACGCAGCGCUGGUAGGAUCGCGAAGGAACGUGAGGCUGAGGCUGAGGCCGCCGCCGCAGCCUCCUCGGUGAGGGAGGGCGAAAGCGUCGCCAUGGGCAGCACCCGCGUCCGCCGUGCCCGCCGAGAGGAGUAAGAAAAGGCGAAGAAGUGGUGGACAGUCUACAUAUGCGCGUAGGUGCGCUCAUUCAAGCGAAGUGGUUGCGAUGGUCGCUUUCCGACGCAUAUCCUUGAGCACAGGCAUACAAACACACACCUCUACACACGAGGUGUCCCGUGCUUGUAUGGCGUUGUCUUUUUCUUUUCCGUCCUUUAGUAUGCGUGUGUGCAUGCACAAGGAUAUGCGUCGUCGUCGCUCUGUCUUUUUAUCACUGCCCGCAUCUGCGUGCUUGUGUGCUGGUGCCGCCGUACCUUGCUGUUGGAGGGGGGCCGUCUGGUGAAUCGAUCGCCUUGGCGAUAUGGUUUGCGAGUUGUCCACUGUCUCUCUGAGCGCGGUUGCAGUAAUGAUUGUACCUAAGUAGCUCUUCACCUUCUCCCUAUCAUUGGAUAGUACCGGUGCCGCCCCUCAUCCUCCCCCCCCCACCCGCAACGACAAGGAGAGGGUGAGGCAGAGCAGCAGAGGAGGACAGGUGAUGUGAGAGAGGCCAUGAGAGCAUGAAAAAGGAUGCACGCAAACACACCCGAGAAUGCAUACGGCGCUCGUGCGUGUGUGCACUCGACGACUUCAGCGGUUCGAGGCCCCCGCCGUCGUUCCCUCUGGGUGCCAGUGCCUCUGUUCAGACGCGCCCUCCCCACCUCAUCCUUUUACGCCGGGUCAAACACAUGGUGCGCGCACGCGCACACCCGGAUAGCGAAGUGCCCCGCGCAAGGCUGGCACUCCAGCGACGCAAACUUUUUUCCGGCGAAGG